This is a long non-coding RNA of Ailuropoda melanoleuca (giant panda), 1012 nucleotides long. RefSeq lists it as uncharacterized. The record is from RefSeq and is a predicted model, not a curated record. The transcript is spliced from 4 exons. Lineage: Eukaryota; Metazoa; Chordata; Mammalia; Carnivora; Ursidae.
UAAAACUCAUUAUAGAGCCAAGAAAACUCUGGUGGGUGACCCAAAAGAAGAAAGCAAGGUCCUAAGAACAGAAUGAUAAGAAAGGUAAAGAAGAGCUUCAAUAGGAGAUGCUGAGAGGACAGAACAACAGGAGGCUCUCUCCCUGCGAAGUGGAAAAUGAAAAAGUAAAAACAAGGAGCUCCCCCUUCCCAGAGAGGACUAUAGUUUACAUUUGGUGCCUUCCCCCCCCCAUGCAAUAUGCAUAUAGUUUAUAAAAUUGGGGUCACUGAGUAUAUUCGGGGUUUUUAAAUGCUCAUUUCUGCCCCGACGGUAUCCCAGGUAUUUUCCCAUAGCGAUUCCCAUACACUUUACAUGGGUGAGUUGUGUGUGAUGUAAAUUAUAUCGUAAUAAAAUUGUAAUUUAAAAAAAAUCCUUUAGAGAAAACCUGAAUCUCCAUCCCUGUAAGAAGCUGUAGGACAAAAGCAGAAACACCGUGCACUCAAGAGAAGACGGCUGAGCUGGUCACAAGCGGGAGUGAAAAUAAGAGAGUCUUAGCUCAGGGUGAGUGCCGUGGUCAGGAUGGGGAGACCACCUCCCGCUCCACCGCUACACUUGGAAGGGAAGAGCCCCCCAGGACAGCAGGAGCCUGCUACCUCCUGUGAGGACAGAAAGCAAGCUGGCGUGGCCACGCUGUGGGCUGAGGAAGAGCGAGCUGCGCUCUGAAGAUGCUACAAGAGCUCACGGCUACUUCAGAAUACCCGAGAGUCAACUACCUGCUAAGUGUCCCCCUUGUCAUGAAAAAGACCACUCGAGAACCUCCAUGAGGACCCAGGGCAGACAAGGAACAGGAAACAGGAAGAGGACAGUUCCUCAGCAGCAGCAGCAGGAGGGCUCUGGAACUCAGGGUCUCUGACUCAAGUCCUCCCUCCACCCAGACCCUAGAUCUUCCAAACAGCAAGGGACAGUGAGCCCCAGACACCACCCCAGAUACUGGACAAGAACCUCAGAGCAGAAGGCAAGUAAGAAAGGGGCC